CCUACGGGUGGCUGCAGUGAGGAAUAUUGGUCAAUGGGCGCGAGCCUGAACCAGCCAAGUAGCGUGAAGGAUGACUGCCCUACGGGUUGUAAACUUCUUUUAUAAAGGAAUAAAGUGAGGCACGUGUGCCUUUUUGUAUGUACUUUAUGAAUAAGGAUCGGCUAACUCCGGGCCAGCAGCCGCGGUAAUACGGAGGAUCCGAGCGUUAUCCGGAUUUAUUGGGUUUAAAGGGAGCGUAGAUGGGUUGUUAAGUCAGUUGUGAAAGUUUGCGGCUCAACCGUAAAAUUGCAAUUGAUAGUGGCAGGCUUGAGUACAGUAGAGGUAGGCGGAAUUCGUGGUGUAGCGGUGAAAUGCUUGGAUAUCAGGAAGAACUCCGAUUGCGAAGGCAGCUUACUAAACUGCCACUGACAUUGAUGCUCGAAAGUGUGGGUAUCAAACAGGAUUAGAUACCCGUGUAGUC
This 460-nucleotide ribosomal RNA is filed under the name uncultured bacterium. RNAcentral's name for it is "partial 16S ribosomal RNA". It matches the Rfam family "Bacterial small subunit ribosomal RNA", at positions 338 to 795 of the family's 1533-position model. The record is from RNAcentral.